GAUGAACGCUAGCGGCAGGCCUAACACAUGCAAGUCGAGGGGUAACAGGGAUUGCUUGCAAUCCGCUGACGACCGGCGCACGGGUGCGUAACGCGUAUACAAUCUACCUUUUGCUGAGGGAUAGCCCAGAGAAAUUUGGAUUAAGACCUCAUGGUAUGUAUUUAUGGCAUCAUAAAUAUAUUAAAGGUUACGGCAAAAGAUGAGUAUGCGUUCUAUUAGCUAGAUGGUGUGGUAACGGCACACCAUGGCAACGAUAGAUAGGGGCCCUGAGAGGGGGAUCCCCCACACUGGUACUGAGACACGGACCAGACUCCUACGGGAGGCAGCAGUGAGGAAUAUUGGGCAAUGGAGGCAACUCUGACCCAGCCAUGCCGCGUGCAGGAAGACUGCCCUAUGGGUUGUAAACUGCUUUUAUACAGGAAGAAACAGCUCUACGUGUAGAGGCUUGACGGUACUGUAAGAAUAAGGAUCGGCUAACUCCGUGCCAGCAGCCGCGGUAAUACGGAGGAUCCAAGCGUUAUCCGGAAUCAUUGGGUUUAAAGGGUCCGUAGGUGGAUUAAUAAGUCAGAGGUGAAAUCCUGCAGCUCAACUGUAGAAUUGCCUUGGUACUGGUUAUCUUGAAUUAUUGUGAAGUGGUUAGAAUAUGUAGUGUAGCGGUGAAAUGCAUAGAUAUUACACAGAAUACCGAUUGCGAAGGCAGAUCACUAAUAAUGUACUGACACUGAUGGACGAAAGCGUGGGUAGCGAACAGGAUUAGAUACCCUGGUAGUCCACGCCGUAAACGAUGGUCACUAGCUGUUCGAACUUCGGUUUGAGUGGCUAAGCGAAAGUGAUAAGUGACCCACCUGGGGAGUACGUUCGCAAGAAUGAAACUCAAAGGAAUUGACGGGGGCCCGCACAAGCGGUGGAGCAUGUGGUUUAAUUCGAUGAUACGCGAGGAACCUUACCAGGGCUUAAAUGUAGAUUGACAGGACUAGAGAUAGUUUUUUCUUCGGACAAUUUACAAGGUGCUGCAUGGUUGUCGUCAGCUCGUGCCGUGAGGUGUCAGGUUAAGUCCUAUAACGAGCGCAACCCCUGUUGUUAGUUGCCAUCGAGUAAUGUCGGGAACUCUAACAAGACUGCCAGUGCAAACUGUGAGGAAGGUGGGGAUGACGUCAAAUCAUCACGGCCCUUACGUCCUGGGCUACACACGUGCUACAAUGGUAGGUACAGAGAGCAGCCACUUCGCGAGAAGGAGCGAAUCUAUAAAACCUAUCACAGUUCGGAUCGGAGUCUGCAACUCGACUCCGUGAAGCUGGAAUCGCUAGUAAUCGGAUAUCAGCCAUGAUCCGGUGAAUACGUUCCCGGGCCUUGUACACACCGCCCGUCAAGCCAUGGAAGCUGGGGGUACCUGAAGUCGGUUACCGCAAGGAGCUGCCUAGGGUAAAACUGGUAACUAGGGCU
This 1443-nucleotide ribosomal RNA is filed under the name uncultured prokaryote. RNAcentral's name for it is "partial 16S ribosomal RNA". It matches the Rfam family "Bacterial small subunit ribosomal RNA". The record is from RNAcentral.